This 1326-nucleotide ribosomal RNA is filed under the name Triticum aestivum (bread wheat). RNAcentral's name for it is "partial small subunit ribosomal RNA". The record is from RNAcentral. Lineage: Eukaryota; Viridiplantae; Streptophyta; Magnoliopsida; Poales; Poaceae.
AUGAACAUCCUACAAGACCUUAAGCAUCUCAAGCACAUUAGCUUGCCGGCGAGGCUUAUCAUUUGCAAGUGCCUUCUCAUAGUGAUUGGCCUUAUUGUAUUGAGAGCAAUUAUCUCCCCUUUUCUUGCCAUUAGCUCGUCUGAAAAGAGUUUUUAUGAGUCACCAACCCUUGACUUGUUCCCUGGAGUUAGGAAAGGUAAGUUUGUUGAGGUCCCGCAGAUUAUAUGGGGAUUGAACAAUCAGAAGAUUGCAUUUGCCAGAGCAUGCUUGACGGCAAAAUUCCUGAACCGUUCUCUACUCAUGCCAAGUCUGAGUGCUUCGCUUUUCUACAAAGAGGUUGACUUGCUGCAGCCUAUUGCUUUCGACAAGGUAUUUGACCUUAACAAGUUCAAUGCCCGCUGUCAUGGGUUUGUAAGAGUAGCUCGGUAUUCAGAAGUUUCAAAUCGUACCGAGCCUUUCAAACUUCAAAAGGGCAGUGGUAGGAGGUGGACAGUGGAGAGAGAUUUGGAUCAACUGCAACAAUCCAGAUUGGGGGAGGCCGAUGGCUUUGAAGUGAUUCAUGUCACUGGGAAGCAUCCAUUUCUAUGGCCUGAUCAUUGGCCAGUGAAAGACUAUGCCAGGAUCUUUGAUUGCCUUGCUGUAGCUCCUGAGAUAGAUACUGAAGUUGUCAGGGUCAUAUCCAAGAUUAAAGAUGCAGGGAAAAAAGCAAGACAUGAUGCUGCCGUUUCUCAUAAUAAGAAGAGGAUAGAUGGUUUGAAAAAUCUUCCUGUGCAGUACAUUGCUGUUCACAUGAGAAUAGAGAAAGAUUGGAUGAUUCAUUGCAAGAAGUGGGAGCAGCGGUCCAAUUUAAAGGAAAUUUGCAGCAGCAAAGGAGAGAUCAUUCAUAAGGUCUCACAGAUCACUGACCUACGUCGCCCGGUUGUAGUAUAUCUUGCAGUAGCCGACAGCCUUCUAGAAGAUGAUUCAGUAACCAGUGGUUGGAGAGUUGGUAUGGUUGCUUAUGAGAAGAAGAAACUUGGAGUUACUGACAUAUACGAGAAGCAGCCUUACCUUAUAAAGUCUGCCAUCGACUUUGAGGUAUGCGCAAGAGCGGAUGUGUUUGUUGGCAAUAGUUUCUCAACAUUUUCCAACCUUGUAGUAUUGUCUAGAACAGAAAGGUUAUACAAGUUAGGGAAGGCAAGCUCAUGUGGUGAGGAUGUUGGGCUGUCGUCCUAUGCGUACAAUGUCAUCGGAGAUGAUGGCGGGCCACAGAAAUGGAUGACAGAUAUGUUGGACACAAGCCUUCAGCGCAUAAGUUACGGAACAAAUAACGUCUCCUGCCACUGA